GGGAGUAUAUCCUGGUUGGCAAAGUGCAUGCUUGGCAUGCAUGAGGUACUUGGUUCAAUCCCCGGUACUUCCA
Molecule: transfer RNA, 73 nt
Filed under: Camelus bactrianus (Bactrian camel)
Lineage: Eukaryota; Metazoa; Chordata; Mammalia; Artiodactyla; Camelidae
Also listed under: 2 other names
Rfam family: tRNA
About the family: Transfer RNA (tRNA) molecules are approximately 80 nucleotides in length. Their secondary structure includes four short double-helical elements and three loops (D, anti-codon, and T loops).
Source: Rfam by way of RNAcentral